This is a long non-coding RNA of Oncorhynchus mykiss (rainbow trout), 592 nucleotides long. RefSeq lists it as uncharacterized. NCBI's taxonomy places the organism in Eukaryota, Metazoa, Chordata, Actinopteri, Salmoniformes, Salmonidae. The record is from RefSeq and is a predicted model, not a curated record.
CAUUAACCAAACAAGGGAGAUUGGCAGCGUAAAUCCCUCAGCCCUCGUUUUUGAUCGAGAGGGCGAGUGUACUAUUCUGUUCCCUCCGGGGCUGAAACGGCCUGUAAUUCAAUUUGCAAUGAUUGUACAUCCGCUAAGAAAAGUCAGCCAAAACUUAAUACCAACAUCAAGAAAUCAACAUACAAGUGACAAUUGUUCAGAGGAUGGUGCUGGAGGGAAGGCUCACAGGUGGGCAGGCCUCAAAGAAGUGGGAGAAUGUAAAGAAUAAGUACAAGGUCCCUCCAACUCAGCAGCAACAGAGGUAGAGCAGCCCCCCCUGGCCCUCCACCCCAGGCCCCAGGGAGAUCCCAGCAAACCCUCCCCAUCUACCCCAGUGCAGCACGACAAAGCAUCAGAUGAUGCAGACAGCCCCAGCACCUCAACCUCCAAGCACGGAGACCACAUAAUGUACACCAUUACGGUUAGGGAGAGUGAAAAGGAUGAAGCCAGGUUCGCAUGCCAGGAGCCCAAACAGAGAGGCUCAUAGGUGUCAUGUAAUGUAAAGUGUUGGUCCCAUGUUUCAUGAGCUGAAAUAAAAGAUCCCAGAAAUGUU